GCCCGGGUGGCGAAAUUGGUAGACGCAUGGGACUUAAAAUCCCUUGGCCUUCGGGCCGUGCCGGUUCGAGUCCGGCCCCGGGCACCA
Molecule: transfer RNA, 87 nt
Filed under: Salinisphaera japonica YTM-1
Lineage: Bacteria; Pseudomonadati; Pseudomonadota; Gammaproteobacteria; Salinisphaerales; Salinisphaeraceae
Also listed under: 1 other name
Description: tRNA-Leu
Rfam family: tRNA
About the family: Transfer RNA (tRNA) molecules are approximately 80 nucleotides in length.
Source: RNAcentral